This 236-nucleotide ribosomal RNA is filed under the name uncultured bacterium. RNAcentral describes it as "partial 16S ribosomal RNA". It matches the Rfam family "Bacterial small subunit ribosomal RNA", at positions 103 to 334 of the family's 1533-position model. The record is from RNAcentral.
CGGGUGAGUAACGCGUAGGUAACCUGCCUUGUAGCGGGGGAUAACUAUUGGAAACGAUAGCUAAUACCGCAUAACAAUGGGUGACCCAUGUCAUUCAUUUGAAAGGGGCAAAUGCUCCACUACAAGAUGGACCUGCGUUGUAUUAGCUAGUAGGUGAGGUAACGGCUCACCUAGGCGACGAUACAUAGCCGACCUGAGAGGGUGAUCGGCCACACUGGGACUGAGACACGGCCCAG